RNAcentral lists this ribosomal RNA (460 nucleotides) under uncultured bacterium. RNAcentral's name for it is "partial 16S ribosomal RNA". It matches the Rfam family "Bacterial small subunit ribosomal RNA", at positions 338 to 795 of the family's 1533-position model. The record is from RNAcentral.
CCUACGGGAGACAGCAGUGAGGAAUAUUGGUCAAUGGGCUUACGCCUGAACCAGCCAAGUCGCGUGAGGGAAGACUGCCCUAUGGGUUGUAAACCUCUUUUGUCAGGGAGCAACGCGCGUCACGUGUAGCGGGACUGAGAGUACCCGAAGAAAAAGCAUCGGCUAACUCCGUGCCAGCAGCCGCGGUAAUACGGAGGAUGCGAGCGUUAUCCGGAUUUAUUGGGUUUAAAGGGUGCGUAGGCGGAAUGCCAAGUCAGCGGUAAAAUCGCGGGGCUCAACCUCGCUCCGCCGUUGAAACUGGCGUUCUUGAGUGGAAGAGAAGUAUGCGGAAUGCGUGGUGUAGCGGUGAAAUGCAUAGAUAUCACGCAGAACUCCGAUUGCGAAGGCAGCAUACCGACGCGCCACUGACGCUGAAGCUCGAAAGCGUGGGUAUCGAACAGGAUUAGAUACCCUAGUAGUC